This 107-nucleotide small nuclear RNA is filed under the name Procavia capensis (Cape rock hyrax). The record is from RNAcentral. Lineage: Eukaryota; Metazoa; Chordata; Mammalia; Hyracoidea; Procaviidae.
GUAUUAACUUUGGCAGCACAUACAAUAAAAUUAAAAUCAUACAGAGAAGAUUACCAUGGACCCUGAAUAAGGUUGACGUGCAAAUUUGUGAAGUCUUCCAUAAUUUU